This 84-nucleotide transfer RNA is filed under the name bacterium. RNAcentral's name for it is "tRNA-Leu". It matches the Rfam family "tRNA". Rfam says of the family: Transfer RNA (tRNA) molecules are approximately 80 nucleotides in length. Their secondary structure includes four short double-helical elements and three loops (D, anti-codon, and T loops). Further hydrogen bonds mediate the characteristic L-shaped molecular structure. tRNAs have two regions of fundamental functional importance: the anti-codon, which is responsible for specific mRNA codon recognition, and the 3' end, to which the tRNAs corresponding amino acid is attached (by aminoacyl-tRNA synthetases). tRNAs cope with the degeneracy of the genetic code in two manners: having more than one tRNA (with a specific anti-codon) for a particular amino acid; and 'wobble' base-pairing, i.e. permitting non-standard base-pairing at the 3rd anti-codon position. The record is from RNAcentral.
GCCGGAGUGGUGGAAUUGGCAGACACGCACGGUUCAGGGCCGUGUGCCCGCGAGGGCGUAAGGGUUCAAGUCCCUUCUCCGGCA